This 560-nucleotide ribosomal RNA is filed under the name uncultured bacterium. RNAcentral's name for it is "bacterial SSU rRNA". It matches the Rfam family "Bacterial small subunit ribosomal RNA", at positions 338 to 917 of the family's 1533-position model. The record is from RNAcentral.
CCUACGGGAGGCAGCAGUGGGGAAUCUUGCACAAUGGGGGAAGCCCUGAUGCAGCGAUGCCGCGUGAGUGAAGAAGGCCCUUGGGUUGUAAAACUCUUUCGUCGGGGAAGAAAAUGACUGUACCCGAAUAAGAAGGUCCGGCUAACUUCGUGCCAGCAGCCGCGGUAAUACGAAGGGACCUAGCGUAGUUCGGAAUUACUGGGCUUAAAGAGCUCGUAGGUGGUUAAAAAAGUUGAUGGUGAAAUCCCAAGGCUCAACCUUGGAACUGCCAUCAAAACUUUUUAGCUAGAGUGUGAUAGAGGUAAGUGGAAUUUCUAGUGUAGAGGUGAAAUUCGUAGAUAUUAGAAAGAACACCAAAUGCGAAGGCAACUUACUGGGUCACUACUGACACUGAGGAGCGAAAGCAUGGGUAGCGAAGAGGAUUAGAUACCCUCGUAGUCCAUGCCGUAAACGAUGUGUGCUAGACGUUGGAAAUAUAUUUUUCAGUGUCGCAGCGAAAGCAUUAAGCACACCGCCUGGGGAGUACGACCGCAAGGUUAAAACUCAAAUGAAUUGACGGA